Molecule: long non-coding RNA, 1742 nt
Organism: Poecilia latipinna (sailfin molly)
Lineage: Eukaryota; Metazoa; Chordata; Actinopteri; Cyprinodontiformes; Poeciliidae
Exons: 2
Source: RefSeq, a predicted model, not a curated record
AGGUUGGUGUGACUCAGAACCAUAGCAGCUGGAGGAGGAGCAGAUGAUGGAGUUCUGGGUUCCAGUAGAACCGGGUCCAACGGGCUGUCAGGUGCAGAAACGCUGCCACCUCCAGCUGGCUGAUGCGUUUUCUCGUCCUGCGCUGCAGAUCAUUAGAGAGCAGACCGUCGCUGCAGAUUUCCAUCCUCUCAGCGGCGUUUCCUCCCCUCAGCGGGUGACAGCAGCGAUCCGGGCAGCAGCUUCCUCACGCUCUCCACCCCCUGCUGCAUUCUGACACGCUGCCAACAACUCUGCUCUGCAACACUUUCAACAUCAGUAACACCUGAACACUGACCCAAACCACCUUGAAAUAUUUGAUGCUACAACCAAGAACUGAGUUCAACAACAAUAACAGGUGGUUUUACUACUAAAGAACAAACUCUGAACUAAUACUUUAAGGCUAAAUCCCUCCUCUGCAGCAUUCUGUGCAGCUAAUCCUUAGAAAUAAAAACAAACCCAACCUGUUACACUUUUCUCUUAUGUUACAUAAUUCAUGGCAUGCUAGAGCGUUUCUGAUGUAUUUUUACUUGCAGUAAUCCGGUGAAUGCAGAAGUUUAUUUGCAGAUUAGUGAGUCAUCAAUACAUGGAGCCUAACUGCUGCCAGAGACAUAAUGCCACAGUGAGUCAUCAACCAAAGCCAAUUAGGGCUGCAGUGUUUGUGGCACCCAGUGGGUGAGUGGGCAUCUGCGGUACCGGAGCAGACGUGACGAGGUCAACAGACGCGCAUGGCCGCAUUAAGUCAGCACACGCUGUGCGGCGAGCCUUAACGAGCGCUGCCGUCCUGAUAGAUCGGCCCACACAGGCUUCCCAAGGUUGCCAUUUUCCUGUCAACUUCUCCACCAGAACAGUUUGACAACAGAGCGUCGCCGCUGCCAGCUCUCCGCUGAGCGACUGGAGCACAAACAGAUAACUAAUAACCAAAGCUGUAAGAGGAGCAGGCAGACUUUCUGAUGAUGUACGUGUGAAGCAGCAGGUCCUGCAGGCCUUUUCUUCAAACAGCAGACACAUAAAACUGAGUCAUUCUGCUACUGUAAGAGCUGCUCCAACGUUUAUUAGGAAUACGUUUGUUUUUCAGAAAGACUGAUAUUCACUUUCUUCCUCUUUCCAUCAGUGAACAUGUCAUUAUUACAUCUGUGCAGUAAUCAUAAAUCUGCUGCCAGUCAAGCUUAACAAAGCUCAAACUUCAGAGAACUUUGAACUGAACAAUGACGCGUUUUACUGACAAACUUAAAAUGAAUGCAGCUUUAAUGAUUCUCUAUUUGUGUUCUGAACCAAAGAUUUUCACAGUGUUUACAGGAGCAAACUCUGGAUGUUGGAUGCAUUUUUCCCUCCAGCUGAGCAGAGUGACAGGCAGGAGAUACACUAAGGACAUUUAAACCUUAGAUACGCUCCUGGUUGUUAGCAGAUCUUUUCCUGCUCAGUUCGUUUCUUUGUGUUCAGUUUCUUUUUUUUCUUGUUUCUGUUCUUUCUGCAGUUAAAUGAAUGAAUCUUCGAUCGCUGUUAUUUUCUCCUCUUAGUUUGCAGUUUGAAAGUAAUUCAUUAUUUUCCUUCUAUUUUCCAAAUCUUUAUAAAAACACUGACGCUGCUGGUUUCACUGUGACUAAGUUUAAAAAGGUGAAGAGUUGUGCAUUCUUUUGAGACACUUUGUAAAGUUUGGAAACUCAAACUUUGACAUGGGCAAAUAGAAAGUGUUCUGAAGAAAA